RNAcentral lists this unclassified non-coding RNA (238 nucleotides) under Glomus sp. RNAcentral describes it as "partial internal transcribed spacer 2". The record is from RNAcentral. Lineage: Eukaryota; Fungi; Glomeromycota; Glomeromycetes; Glomerales; Glomeraceae.
GUUAAUCAUCUCAUCUUUGAACGCAAAUUACACUUUCUUCUAUUCCGGACACUAUGCCUGUGUGAGCGUCACCUAAAUAAAAAUCGGUGUUGUUGCUGCCUUUCCUGGUGCCGCGUCGGCAUUGGGUCGUCUUACCUUCGGUUAAUUGACUUAAAAUUUUUGCAUGCUUUUCAAUCGCAUUUAAAUCUCUUACGUACGUUUGAUAUAUUUCAUGCUUAUUAGCUUCGGUCCUUCCCAU